CUUGCUCCUUCCCCGCGAGCCGGGCCCCGGAGCCGCGGUGGGAGGAUGAGUCCCUGGAGCUGGUUCCUGCUGCCGACCCUCUGCCUCCUGCCCGCGAGCGCAGCCCCGCGGCGCGGCGCGCCCGCCUCCGCCGACUGCGAGCUCCAGCCCCAGCAAAGUGAAUUGAAUUCCUUCUUGUGGACCAUAAAGCGAGACCCGCCGUCUUACUUCUUUGGCACGAUCCACGUUCCGUACACUCGGGUUUGGGACUUCAUCCCCGACAACUCCAAGGAGGCUUUUCAGCAGAGCAGCAUUGUGUACUUCGAGCUGGACCUCACGGACCCCUACACUAUCUCAGCCCUCACCAGCUGUCAGAUGUUGCCACAGGGUGAGAACCUCCAGGACGUGCUCCCCAGGGACAUCUAUUGCCGCCUCAAGCGCCACCUAGAGUAUGUCAAGCUCAUGAUGCCCUCGUGGAUGACCCCAGACCAGCGGGGCAAAGGUCUCUAUGCCGACUACCUCUUCAAUGCCAUUGCGGGGAACUGGGAGCGGAAGAGGCCCAUCUGGGUGAUGCUCAUGGUCAACUCCCUGACUGAAGUGGACAUUAAGUCCCGUGGGGUGCCUGUCUUAGACCUGUACCUUGCCCAGGAGGCCGAGCGGCUGAGGAAACAGACUGGGGCCGUGGAAAAGGUGGAAGAGCAGUGCCAUCCGCUGAAUGGGCUCAACUUUUCACAGGUCCUCUUUGCUUUGAACCAGACCCUCCUACAGCAGGAGAGCCUCCGAGCAGGCAGCCUUCAGAUCCCCUACACAACGGAGGAUCUCAUCAAGCACUAUAAGUGUGGGGACCUCAGCUCCGUCAUUUUCAGCCAUGACAGCUCCCAGGUUCCCAAUUUUAUUAACUCCACGCUGCCACCUCAGGAGCGGGUCACUGCCCAGGAGAUUGACAGCUACUUCCGCCAAGAACUUAUCUACAAGCGGAAUGAGAGAAUGGGGAAGCGGGUGAAGGCCCUUUUGGAAGAGUUUCCCGAUAAAGGCUUUUUCUUUGCCUUUGGAGCAGGUCAUUUCAUGGGCAACAACACGGUGCUAGAUGUCUUGCGGCGAGAAGGAUAUGAGGUAGAGCACGCCCCUGCUGGACGACCCAUCAACAAAGAGAAGAGUCCAAGAUCCUCCUCAGGGCCCGCCUCCUCGACCAUCUUUGCCCCUGAAGAGCCCGCGGUGGAAGCACCGGCACCGGCACCGGAAGCUCCUGCGGCUGCGGCGCGCGCCCUGUUGCCUCCUCACGCGUCCCCGCCCGGAAGUGCCGACCUAGGUGGCGAGGCGGAGCGGAAGUUCCGGAAGAAGCGGAGGCGGCCGCGCCCUCAGCGAAGGCAGCGGCUUCGGCAGUUCAGCGAUCUGUGGGUCCGACUGGAGGAGAGUGCUGUGGUGCCACAGCUCCAGGUCCCUGUUCUGGAGAGGUACAUCUCUGCCGAGCUGCAGCUCCCUCACCAUGGGCAUUCCCACCACAGCCAGAUGGUGGCUAGCAGCGCCUGUCUGUCUCUCUGGACUCCUGUGUUCUGGGUGCUGGUGCUGGCUUUCCAAACAGAGACACCCCUCCUGUAAUGACUGCAGGAGUCACCCCUUGGACUUGAAGGAUCGCUAUUCUGUACUCCACACUCUGCUCUGGCCUGGAUAGGCCCAAUCCAGGAAGAAGGACAGAAUAAAAGUGUUGAUUCUUCUCUUUCCAAGGAAUGACUUUGGGUUAUCCAGCAGUGCUUGGGAAAUGAGCCACUGCCAAACUCUUGACAAUAUUCAAAAGGCAUCAUCUUGAUGUGAGGAAGAACGUAGGAAAAAGUUGGUGAGCUAGCAUAACCAAUUUUUUUCAUAUCCUUAACCCAGCGUUGAUAAUAACUUUGUGGUAA
RNA transcript from Canis lupus familiaris (dog), 1877 nucleotides. It is a transcript of the gene named TraB domain containing 2A, with no coding region annotated. The record is from RefSeq and is a predicted model, not a curated record. The transcript has 8 exons. Lineage: Eukaryota; Metazoa; Chordata; Mammalia; Carnivora; Canidae.